CCCUUGGUAUGUGGACGCUGGGAAUCGAACCCAGGUCCUCUUGAAGAGCACCCAGUGCUCUUAAUUACUACUAUCCAGAAGCCUAAAAAGUUCUCUCUACAAAAAACGAACUUUCUACCACAGAUUCAGGGUUUGGCUUUAGCUGAGAAUAAAAAGAGUGACAAUCCAGUGUGAGGGGAGAGUCCUAGUCAGCCACCGCACAACUUUUCUGAAACGCCUAUCCGGAGGAAGCUGAUGCGCCUGGCGCAGGCGCGCCGGAGCAGACUCUAUGCCCCGAGCUCGAAGCUGUGAGACCAUCCGCAGGACGAGGAGCUCCCGGGCAACUCCGGGGGCGGGGCCAGAGACCACCUGUGUGCGGGGCGGAAAGAGAGUGGCUGGGGCUCGCGCGGUGGGCGGGGCGCCGGCGGAGCCUCCUGCCGCGAGCUGCAGGUCGGCUGUUGGUCUCUGAGCGGCCGGCAACGGUUUUUCUGUUUCUCUCAGGACGUCCUGUCUGGUCGCGGCGCGAUGCCUCUCGAUCCUCGGGUGGCCAUGGGGGACGCUGGCAAUCAGGACAUCUUGGCUGUCUUCAACCGCCUGCGCUUGGUGCUUAGUAACCAAGUAGCAGCCGCCUGGCGAGCUCGGGACCGCGCGGCGGGCGUGGGAGGCGAAGCCGCCCAGUUCGUAAACGGUCGAAUUCGCCCACGCGGGAUCUGAGUGACUUCUCCGACCGACCGUGCUUGCCCACGCCACAGAAUGUCUGGUGUGGGAUAUGACUGAAAAUAUUAUUUAGUUGUGCAAGAAGAAAUGGUACUUAUAUACAAAAGAAAGACAUGAUUUUUUGGUUUUAAGUAAAUACAACAUACAUCCUACAAGUCUGGACUUUUAGAUCUUCCUGAUGGAAGACCACCAUGAUACCAUUACUCUCCCAAUAAUUAAAUGAGGUGCCAAUGAUGAAACAUGGUCACAAUUAGCGCCCUUACAAGACUCCUUCCCAGAUAUCUGACCAGGACCAAGACUGGAAUUUCUCAUCUAUGGUACUUAACAGUGGAGUAUUCUCCCAUACCUGAUUCUGGUUCUGUUGAGAGGACCUACUUAAGUGACUUUCUCCAGCUCAUUGAAAGCAGCAGAACAAAAGCCUCAUCCAGGCCAUGGAAGCUGGACCACAUGCCUGUGAAGAAAGCAUUGCAAAUCUCAUCUUUGGAAGUGUUUUUCUUAGCAUGCCAUGGUAUGUUUUGAGUACAGUGCCAAAAAUCACAACUGGGCAAGCAUAACCUACAGGAUGUUUCUUUUUAUCACUUGCUCAGGGUCACUUUGUGUCUACUAGAGUUUUAUCUGGAUGGAACACUGCAUUGGAGUGCUGUUCUCUGAGUGAUAAUCGGUUUAGUGGUGUGCCGCUGACAAGGGACAAACCAACCCAAGGAUACUUUUAGAUCACACUGCAAGAGCAAUGGAAAAAGGGUCCAGUGAUCAAUAGUCUGUGGCUUUGUAUCCAACUCCAGGAAGUCAGUGUGUUGAUGGUCCCAUGGAGAUAAGAGGCAGUUCCUUUCAUAGCUGGGAUGACAGUGUUGAUUCCUACUGGGAGAAGGACAGCAGCAGAGACGACUAGACCACUGUGAAAAAGCACAGGCUCUUCAGACAAAUGUGAGCUGCAAGACCAAGAAGUCAGAGCUACAGGCUGGAUUGCCUUCUGUACCUCCUUUCUGGCACUCACUUCACAGCCACAGUGGCUGGCAGGUCGUCAUCAGUGUUACAGAGGCAGGUGGGGCCAGGAUAUAAGUGGGCCAGCCUUGCAGGGCUGUUAUGGGCUACAGCCAGGCAGGGCUCGACAGGAGCCAUCAGCAGCUUUGAUGUUCUGCUCCAGCUCUCGGUAAAUGGUUUUGUACCUAAAUCAGAGACAGAAGGAUAGCUCUACAAAAGGCAGGGCCCAGCCAUCAUUCCUCACAGCCACAAGAGACCCUGCAUGAUCGUCUCUGUAGUCUGCAGGAAUCUUAUCUCCCAGACAUAGAUCAGGAACACCAUUCCCGGGCCGUCACACGUACAGAUGCACACACCAUCCUUAGAACCUGGCACCACCGACAAAUAAGCUUCACAUAACCAGGCGGCACACUGAGCUUGCCCUGCAUCGCAUCUUGGGUGUGCUCCGUGGCACAACUGUGCAGUCCCACUGGGUCAGGUCAUGUUGAGGAAGAAGUCAUUAGACGAGAAUGUCGGGAGAGCUGCAGGUUUCCUCCCCAAGUGAAAGGCACUAUAGGAGGAAGGCAGAACUAUGAGACAGUCCAGCCUCCUGUAGCCAAGAACACGGUCUUGACUAGACCUGAGGGAUCACUUAUUAUCUACAUAGACAGUUUUUUACUUUUUCUAAGCCUCACUUUCUGUCAAUGCGGAAUGGGCAUAAGACCUAUUCUAUCUAAGGAUUGGAUUGUGUUCUCCAACUACAAUAGCUGAAGCCCCAACCCCACCCAGGAGGUGACCUUGUCUUUCAGAGGUGAACAACUUAAAACAGGGUCUGUAAAGUGUCCCCAAUGCAGCAGGGCUGCUGUCCCUACAUAAAGGAGGAGACAUCUACACUAGACAGUCAGGGGAAGAUGGCCAGAGGACUGGACAGACGUGCUCAGAUGUCCGGGAAGCCGAGGACUGGCAGACCCCACACGCUAGAAGAGGCAGGAAGGACCUGCCUGGAGCCUUCAGGAGGAGUGUGGCCAUACCUUGGUUUGUGAUUUCUGUCCUAGAACUUAGUGAUGAGCUUCCCUUGUUGUCUGCCAUGCCACCCUAGGAGCGACCACACCAUGUGCCACCCUCCCUCUGCGUGUCCCCACCCCCACCUCAGGUGGCUUGGAACAUAGGGGUAGACUGUGCUCAUUCAGGCCUUUGCCACAGCCAAGUACAAACAUCGUGGAAGGUACCUCUUACACAGAAGAGCAGGACACAGUCCUAGCCCUGUCCCGUUUCCUGUACCCUAAAAGCUGUGUAGCGACUCAGUUUCCUCAUCAGCAGGAUGGGGACAAUCCUGCCUUCUUUCUAGGCUGUCACAGAGAGGAAAUGACAGCAGAGCAGCUGUGCAGUGACUACUUUCCAUCUUUUUCAAAGAGACAAAAGGGAUGCCAUUUUCUCCUGACAGCAAGCUUUGACCUGACAUCCAUUUCUCAAAGGAAGAUCCUUCAGAUGUAUGAAGAAAGUAGAUUUCUAUCUCUGUCCUGUUAUCUGGGUCUCCCCUGAUGCAGGUACACUGUGUUACAAUCAAACUAGCAUCUUGCUGUUCUGGCUUCCCCAGGACCUACAGUCACCAAGAUUCCAAUGGUUGAACUGGCAGCAGGAAUGAGAAGACUUCUACAAGGGACUGUCCUUGGGGGCAGAAGACAUGAGGCCUGGCCAGUGCUGUGUCAGCCCAGGUGGAUUUCCAGAAUGCUGGCUCUGGCAGCAUCAAGCCCACCAUGCCUGCCCUGCUCCAGCCUUCUAUGGCAGUGCUGUAUGCUGGCUCUGCAAACAGGCCCUCUGGGUGACUGCCCUGUCCCCCAAGGUGGACAUGCAGCACCUGAGUCUAUUCAAUACCAGCCUCCCUGUAAGUCACAAUGAUGGGUUUUUUGUCUCAGACUUACCUAGCCACAUUGGACAGGUCCAGGUGCUUCUGAACCUCCAGCAGAACCUCCCGGAAGAAGCGCAAGCGCUUCUCUUCAAACUGCUGGCACUGCUCGAACACCUGCUCCAUGUUCUCCAUGUACUGGGGUGUGGUCUGAUCAAGCUCCUUCAGGGCCUUCUCAUACUUGUCCUUGGUCUGUGUUGAAAUUGGCACAGGCAGAGGAUAGUUUCCAUCCCACCUCUGUUUACCCCAUGUGCCCCACUGCUGCUCGGGCCUCCCCAGAUUCCAAAUGUGGGAGCAAGAGUUCCAGAGUCUAGCAUUCUCCAAGUCCAGUCCCUGUGUUUCUUCAUGGCAAGUCACACUCUGUACCUGCUCUCACACUCACUGAUAGGAGGCCCAAUCAGGUAAGAUAUAGGCAGGAGAUAGUCACAUCAACAUUCAGUGUCCUGGAUCCCAAACAUAUGUCUACAUUGGUGGCACAGUUGUGAGCAUAGCUGCCUUCUUUGUUCAUUACAUGCCUGUGUUCAUUUUGUCAGUGGGGAGUGCUAUGCUGUGUAACACUCUAGCCUAGAUCUAGCCCCAGUAGCUGUGGCAUGUGAGGCACCUUGGAGACAAGGUCAUUGUCUUAAGUGCCAAAUGGUCCUGGGCCUCACCCUUUAUCAGGCAAUGAGAAUACUUUCUGCUUCAUAGUAUUUUGAGACUUAAAGGACUGACACAAAGCUAUGUGGAUUAGACAUUCCUAAAGUCUGUCCAAUCAGCCUUUUUUUCAAGGCUAUCCAGAGGAAGGGCAUUUAGGUAAAAGGAUAAAUUAAGAGCAAUAUGGUCCAACUUAAGCAAGUCUCUGGGGAGAAUGUAUUAAAUCCCUAGCAUGUGAAAGUGAACACCUGACAUGUGUGCUUGGGCUUGGAGACCACAUUCACCCGGACAUGUGUACCCUACCUUCCAUACCAUGCUAAUCUAAUUCUUUUGUGGUUCCAGACAGUUGAUAGGAGCUUCCUGGAAGUGAGGGGUAGCUUGGUUCUGGAAAUGGCUAUUUAUUGCAGAGCUUUCCAUAUGUGUGUCUAGCAACUGAAGGGUGUUCAUGGAUGCAUGUGAGAAGCACAUGACACUCUUCCAUGCCAAUGCUCAGCAUACCUCACCAGCCUGUGAUUAGCCUUCAGAGUGUCCGUUAGCAGGUGGCCACUUCAGUGUUCCAUCUGUAGCCUCUCAGGUGAAGGUACAGUACAUUCACUUUUCCUUGGUCUCUCUGGAGCUGGCAAGAUUUUCCGGUCGUACACUGUGUGGUGCACUCUUGAGCUUCUACCUAAGUAGAAAGAGUGCUAAGGACCUCAUUGUUCAAAGUGACCUUCAUGACUUCCAUUUCAGAUUGUUUUCUGAGGACUCUAGGCUUUCUGAAAGCUCUGCACUGCUUCAUUUCCUCAAGAUCUCCCAUGGUUGUGCUAAAAAGCUGCCAUUGCUGUCUUGUGUGUGUGUGUACUGUCAGAUGAGAAAGCAGGUGCAAACUAUAGGUAAACUAUCACUACAAGCAUUCAUCAGACUAUAGGUAAACUAUCACUACAAGCACUCAUCAGACUAUAGGUAAACUAUCACUACAAGCAUUCAUCAGACUGUAGGUAAAGUAUCACUACAAGCAUUCAUCAGACUAUAGGUAAACUAUCACUACAAGCACUCAUCAAACUAUAGGUAAACUAUCACUACAAGCACUCAUCAAACUAUAGGUAAACUAUCACUACAAGCACUCAUCAAACUAUAGGUAAACUAUCACUACAAGCACUCAUCAAACUAUAGGUAAACUAUCACUACAAGCACUCAUCAGAAAAGGACCUCACUGGGUCAUUCUUGACAGCUAAUUUCUAACUGAUUCAUAAUACUGCUUUUGAAUAGUUUCCUUGUUACUUAAAAAGCAAAGGACCUCAUUCCACAGGUACUUGCCAAGUAACUGUCAUCUGCCAGACACUCCUGGAAGUGGCUAGCCUGCCCCUUGUUGCUUUAGAGGCCAUUGCAGCCUCCAUGUUUACCCUGUGUUGCCAGACAACAAGCUUCCCUGCUGUUACCAACAGAGAGGUCUACAGACUGAGUCUCUGCAUACAACUCCAGGCCAGGUACUGACAGACCAGCUGGUAGGUUAAAGAGUGAUGCCAGCUAGCAAAAUGCAGGGCUAAGAGAGCUGAUAUCUCAUGUUGACAUAGAGGACAGGAACGGCUUCCCUUAGUUGGUAAAAUUGAACUAAAGCCUUCUGUUUCAUGUCAGCACAUAAAAGAACAUUACUACUUUCUAGUUAUUCCCACCUAUCUAAUUCUAGGCCCCAUGCUUGUUUUUUCAGCCUUUAAAUUUGCCUAUUCCCUAGCAAAUAGGAAUAACUGUCCCCAUUUCACAGAUGAGGAAACUGAAGCUUAGGGCAGUCACUGCAUCUGCCAGUGUCCUACAGCUCAGUAGCAGGGCUGGAGCUGAAAGUAGUUCUUUGGGGACAGUCUGGAUAGCAAAACCUGAUUCGUACACAGCAGUCCAGAGCUGCUAACAAGAAGAAAGCUACACUUUGACCUUCAAAAAAUCUCUCAGCCAGUUGCUGACAUCUUUGAUGGCCACAAAAGGAUCUUAGAGGAUCUGAAGAAAUCAACCAGUCCUGGUAAUAGUUGGUGCAAAUUUGCCUUGUGGCUGCCUGAACCUUUGCUUUAAUUUCAGCCAAUAGGCUCUUCCUUGACAGUCUAUAGUGUGUACCCACCAUAAUGCAACCUCUGCUUGUCCUGUAUUCUAGAGUGUUCAUCUGCUGUCAGAAGGACUGCAGACUGGCUGCAGCGCUGUAACAGUCUGUAGGCUUUGUCUUUUGUUCUGCUGACUCGGUACUCUAUUCCAGUAGACGUUGGCUCUUGGAGCUUUAAUUUGAGCUGCUCUGGUGACUCAUGCCUGCAAUCCUAGCACUCAGGAGGCAGAAGUAGCAUUGACAGGUCGAGGCCAACCUGAGCUACAUAGUGAGUUCCAGACCAGCUUGAGCUACAAAGUGAUACCUUGACUCCAAAAAUAUAAAGAAAAGGAAAAAAGACUUUAGGUAGGACUGCCACUCAACUGCACUGUGUCUUGUACAUGUUCAAAAACCCUCUGGGCUCUGUUUUGGUUUCUGAUACUCUGAAUUUGGCACAGCUUUUGUGAGCACCUAUUCCGGUUCUCACACCUUGUCUGCAGGUCCUGUGCCUAUUACUGUUAUUAGCACUUCCAGGGAUGCCAUGAAAAGCAGCUCUGAGAGCCCUGAGGUUCUAGUUGCUUCUUAUGGUCACAAGUUACCUCUUUUUCGGUCUCCUGUUUAAAAGAGUAGGCCUGGGAAUCACCCCACAGGUGUCUAAUUGAGGUUCAUUUAGAUCCAAGAGAUUCAAGAAAAAGGACAACUUGCCUCAAUGCCUGACAUCAGUAUGAAUUAGAAGACCAAUUGGCUGGACAAUGGGUUUGCUUGAUGUAAAAGAAAGAAAAGAGACUCCUCUAAUCUUUUUAUACUAGGACCUUCAUCUGAGAGAUUCCUAACUAAGCCCCUAGGCCUACAGACUCUGUGAUCCAGACAGCUGAGGGAAGACACACAAGUGUCAGGGAGAACCUCAGACCCUACGCAGAGGGGAGAAAGGAUAGAUAAAAGCCAGUACCUUGUGGCAACCAUCUCAGGGUAAUUCAAAAUAUGAUCCAAAUCUAACAAGAACCAAGGCACCUGAAUGAGAGAACAUAUUUGACCAAAAGGAAGGGUACUAGGAAAUGACUGCUUUGUAAAGGGCUGGCCAAACAGCAGCCCCACCCAAGGGCAGCCAUGGUUAGCCCCUGGGUCAAGAAAGCCCAUGAACUUCAGUGUCAUUUUCAGUGGAAUUUUGUGUGACACUUGUGGCUGGUGUUCCCAUUAUCCCAUAUCUUGUGUUAGGGUUUGGGUAUAAAAUAUUAACCCAAAGCACUGAUGGUUGGAGGAUUUGUCAGCUGGCACUGUUAAGGAAUGAUUAGAUCAUAAGGGUGGUGUCACCAAUGGAUUAAUCUGUUAAUUUUUUCCUAUUUGAAUGGGCAGUUAGACCAUGGGGUCUGUUUGUUGGAAGUGGGGACAGUGGAGCAGUGCCCUGAAGAGGUAUAUCUUAUUUCUAAUCCAGUCUCCUAUCAUUAGAUACAUACUCUUGCCAAGUGUUUCUGUGAUGUUCAGUUUUGCCUCAGGUCUACAAUGAUGAGGCCAGAGAACCAUGGACCAAAGCCACAAGUCAAAAUAAGUCUACUCAUUUCAGUUGUAGCAAAAAUUUUUUGGCACAAUAAAUAACACAGGGUAAUCUUUUUCUAUGUAUGUAAAGGUGUAUAUAUCUACAUGUAUACUGUAAGCAUAUUGUGUACAUUGUACCAAAUUGAGUUAGAAAUAAACACUUGUUUAUCAAA
Molecule: long non-coding RNA, 7942 nt
Organism: Mesocricetus auratus (golden hamster)
Lineage: Eukaryota; Metazoa; Chordata; Mammalia; Rodentia; Cricetidae
Exons: 5
Source: RefSeq, a predicted model, not a curated record